RNAcentral lists this transfer RNA (77 nucleotides) under Clostridiales bacterium. Its description in RNAcentral is "tRNA-His". It matches the Rfam family "tRNA". Rfam says of the family: Transfer RNA (tRNA) molecules are approximately 80 nucleotides in length. Lineage: Bacteria; Bacillati; Bacillota; Clostridia; Eubacteriales. RNAcentral also lists the same sequence under 1 other name. The record is from RNAcentral.
GUGGGUAUAGCUCAGUAGGCUAGAGCGCAAGAUUGUGGCUCUUGAGGCCAAGGGUUCGACUCCCUUUACUCACCCCA